UAAGACAUGCUAGUCGAGCGCUUCUAGCCAAAAGGAGGCGCGGCGCACAGCUCAGUAGUACGUGGCUAACCUGCCCUUGGGAUAGGAACAACCCCGGGAAACUGGGCUAAUUCCCAAUAGGUGAAGAACUCUGGAAUGAGUCUUCGCCAGAAAGGACUCCUACACUAUGCUUGUAGGUUCGCCCAAGGAUGGGGCCGCGACCGAUCAGGUUGUUGGUGAGGUAAUGGCUCACCAAGCCUUUACCGGUGCGGGCCGUGGGAGCGGAAGCCCGGAGAUGGGCACUGAGACAAGGGCCCAGGCCCUACGGGGCGCAGCAGUCGCGAAAACUUUGCAAUAAGCGCAAGCUUGACAGGGCUAUCCCGAGUGCCAUCCGCUGAGGAAGGCUUUUACCCAGUCUAGAAAGCUGGGGGAAUAAGGAGAGGGCAAGUCUGGUGUCAGCCGCCGCGGUAAUACCAGCUCUCCGAGUGGUGUGGAUGUUUAUUGGGCCUAAAGCAUCCGUAGCUGGCUGAACAAGUCCCCUGUUAAACCCACCGAUUUAAUCGUUGGCUUGCGGGGGAUACUGCUCGGCUAGGGGACGAGAGAGGCAGACGGUAUUCCCGGGGUAGGGGUGAAAUCCUAUAAUCCCGGGAAGACCACCAGUGGCGAAGGCUGUCUGCUAGAACGCGCCCGACGGUGAGGGAUGAAAGCUGGGGGAGCGAACCGGAUUAGAUACCCGGGUAGUCCCAGCUGUAAACUAUGCAAACUCAGUGAUGCAUUGACUUGUGGUCAAUGCAGUGCUGCAGGGAAGCCGUUAAGUUUGCCGCCUGGGAAGUACGUACGCAAGUAUGAAACUUAAAGGAAUUGGCGGGGGAGCACCACAAGGGGUGAAGCCUGCGGUUCA
This 880-nucleotide ribosomal RNA is filed under the name uncultured archaeon. Its description in RNAcentral is "bacterial SSU rRNA". It matches the Rfam family "Archaeal small subunit ribosomal RNA", at positions 45 to 904 of the family's 1478-position model. The record is from RNAcentral.